GACGAACGCUGGCGGCGUGCUUAACACAUGCAAGUCGAACGGAAAGGCCCUGCUUUUGUGGGGUGCUCGAGUGGCGAACGGGUGAGUAACACGUGAGUAACCUGCCCUUGACUUUGGGAUAACUUCAGGAAACUGGGGCUAAUACCGGAUAGGAGCUCCUGCUUCAUGGUGUGGGUUGGAAAGUUUCGGCGGUUGGGGAUGGACUCGCGGCUUAUCAGCUUGUUGGUGGGGUAGUGUCUUACCAAGGCUUUGACGGGUAGCCGGCCUGAGAGGGUGACCGGCCACAUUGGGACUGAGAUACGGCCAAGACUCAUACGGGAGGCAGCAGUGGGGAAUAUUGCACAAUGGGCGGAAGCCUGAUGCAGCAACGCCGCGUGCGGGAUGACGGCCUUCGGGUUGUAAACCGCUUUCGCCUGUGACGAAGAGUGAGUGACGGUAAUGGGUAAAGAAGCACCGGCUAACUACGUG
RNAcentral lists this ribosomal RNA (468 nucleotides) under uncultured bacterium. RNAcentral's name for it is "partial 16S ribosomal RNA". It matches the Rfam family "Bacterial small subunit ribosomal RNA", at positions 28 to 507 of the family's 1533-position model. The record is from RNAcentral.